Molecule: small RNA, 472 nt
Filed under: Pongo abelii (Sumatran orangutan)
Lineage: Eukaryota; Metazoa; Chordata; Mammalia; Primates; Hominidae
Description: processed transcript
Source: RNAcentral
AGCCUUCCCCAAUUGUAAAUUUGCUGAAAAAUGUUUGUUUGUUCACCCAAAUUGUAAAUAUGAUGCGAAGUGUACUAAACCAGAUUGUCCCUUCACUCACGUGAGUAGAAGAAUUCCAGUACUGUCUCCAAAACCAGUUGCACCACCAGCACCACCUUCCAGUAGUCAGCUCUGCCGUUACUUCCCUGCUUGUAAGAAGAUGGAAUGUCCCUUCUAUCAUCCAAAACAUUGUAGGUUUAACACUCAGUGUACAAGACCGGACUGCACAUUCUACCAUCCCACCAUUAAUGUCCCACCACGACAUGCCUUGAAAUGGAUUCGACCUCAAACCAGCGAAUAGCACCCAGUCCUGCCUGGCAGAAGAUCAUGCAGUUUGGAAGUUUCCAUGUACUGAUGAAAGACACUCUACAGAACUUGUCAAAUCUUUGAAACUUGGAAUAUAUUGCUUUCAUAAUAUGAAGUUUUAUUGCCU